Molecule: ribosomal RNA, 2445 nt
Filed under: metagenome
Description: bacterial LSU rRNA
Rfam family: Bacterial large subunit ribosomal RNA
Source: RNAcentral
AGGGCGUAUGGGGAAUGCCUAGGCACACUCCGGCGAAGAAGGACGCAGCAAACAGCGAAAUGCGACGGUGAGCGGUAAGCACGUGAAGAGCCGUCGAUAUCCGAAUGGGGGAACCCACACGGAGUCAUAUCCGUGUAUCACAUGUCGAAUACAUAGACAUGAUGAGGCGAGACGCAGGGAACUGAAACAUCUAAGUACCUGCAGGAAGAGAAAAUAAGAAUGAUUUUCUGAGUAGCGGCGAGCGAAAGGGAAAGAGCCCAAACCGAUCUGAGGAUCGGGGUAGUAGGAUCAUCGAUAAAUCAAACAGAGGAUCAUAGAGGAAUCACAUGGGAAGGUGAGCGAGAGAGGGUGAGAGCCCCGUACUCGAAAUGAGAGACUGGAGAGAGAUGACACCUGAGUAGGGCGGGACACGAGAAAUCCUGUCUGAAUCAGCCGGGACCAUCCGGCAAGGCUAAAUACGAGAGAGUGACCGAUAGUGAACCAGUACCGUGAGGGAAAGGUGAAAAGAACCCCGGGAGGGGAGUGAAAGAGAACCUGAAACCAUAUGCCUACAAGAAGUCAGAGCCCGUUAAAGGGUGAUGGCGUGCCUUUUGUAGAAUGAACCGGCGAGUUACUGUAUGGAGCGAGGUUAAGCAGGAUAUGCGGAGCCGAAGCGAAAGCGAGUCUUAAGAGGGCGCGAGUUGCAUGCAGUAGACCCGAAACCGGGUGAUCUAGCCAUGACCAGGUUGAAGUUGGGGUAAAACCCGAUGGAGGACCGAACCGACCCCCGUUGAAACGUUGGCGGAUGAGUUGUGGCUAGGGGUGAAAUUCCAAUCGAACCCGGAGAUAGCUGGUUCUCCCCGAAAUAGCUUUAGGGCUAGCGUCGAGAGAAGAGUUGCGUGAAGGUAGAGCACUGAAUAUGUGAUGGCCCCAUCUCGGGGUACUGAGCAUAAUCAAACUGCGAAUGUCACGCCAACAUGCUCGGCAGUCAGACAGCGGGUGAUAAGGUCCGUUGUCAAGAGGGAAACAGCCCAGACCAUCAGCUAAGGUCCCAAAAUGUAUGCUAAGUGGAAAAGGAUGUGGAGAUGUACAGACAACUAGGAGGUUGGCUCAGAAGCAGCCAUCCUUUAAAGAGUGCGUAACAGCUCACUAGUCGAAUGACUCUGCGCCGAUAAUUUACCGGGGCUAAGCAUACUACCGAAGCUAUGGAUCCCAAGGGAUGGUAGGGGAGCGUUCCAUGAACGGAGAAGUACGACCGAAAGGACGUGUGGAGAUCAUGGAAGAGAGAAUGCCGGUGUGAGUAGCGGAACGUGGGUGAGAAUCCCACGCACCGAAAACCCAAGGUUUCCAGAGGAAGGUUCGUCCGCUCUGGGUAAGUCGGGACCUAAGGCGAGGCCGAAAGGCGUAGUCGAUGGACAACAGGUAGAGAUUCCUGUACCCGUAUAUAUGUGAAGGAAUGACGGAGAGAGGAAGCUGCAGCCAGCGGCUGGAAGAGCUGGUGCAAGCGAGAUAUCGGGAUGGCAGGCAAAUCCACCAUCCGAAACGAGAAGGCGUGAAGCGUACGGAAAGCUACGGCGAGUACGGAAGGCAGUGGAGGAACUUCCAAGAAAAGUUUCUAACGUUAAGUAUAUAUGGCCCGUACCGAAAAUGGACACACAUGGGUGAGGAGAGAAUCCUAAGGUGAGCGAGAGAACUAUAGCUAAGGAACUCUGCAAAAUGACUCCGUAACUUAGGGAGAAGGAGUGCUCAUAGAGAUAUGAGCCGCAGUGAAACGGCCCAAGCGACUGUUUACCAAAAACACAGCUCUCUGCUAAGCCGCAAGGCGAAGUAUAGGGGGUGACGCCUGCCCGGUGCUGGAAGGUUAAGGGGAGGGGUUAACGCAAGUGAAGCCCUGAACUGAAGCCCCAGUAAACGGCGGCCGUAACUAUAACGGUCCUAAGGUAGCGAAAUUCCUUGUCAGGUAAGUUCUGACCCGCACGAAAGGCGUAACGAUUUGGGCGCUGUCUCAGCUGUAGACUCGGUGAAGUCUUAGUACCUGUGAAGAUGCAGGUUACCCGCGACUAGACGGAAAGACCCCAUGGAGCUUCACUGCAGGUUGAUAUUGGGAUUUGAUGCAGCAUGUACAGGAUAGGUAGGAGGCAAAGAGAUGGAUACGCCAGUAUUCAAGGAGCCGCUGUUGGGAUACUACCCCUGUUGUAUUGGAUUUCUAACCGGACGACGUAGAGCCGUUGACGGGACAGUGUCAGUCGGGCAGUUUGACUGGGGCGGUCGCCUCCCAAAGAGUAACGGAGGCGCCCAAAGAUACCCUCAGCUUGGAUGGAAACCAAGCGCAGAGUGCAAAGGCAAAAGGGUGUUUGACUGCGAGACCCACAAGUCGAGCAGGGACGAAAGUCGGGCUUAGUGAUCCGGCGGUGCUGAAUGGAAAGGCCGUCGCUCAACGGAUAAAAGCUACCCUGGGGAUAACAG